Molecule: long non-coding RNA, 10690 nt
Filed under: Homo sapiens (human)
Lineage: Eukaryota; Metazoa; Chordata; Mammalia; Primates; Hominidae
Description: HSALNT0219950
Source: RNAcentral
CUGCAACCUUGCUUUUAGCAGCAUGAAGAAGGGGAAGAGAGGAGGCUGUUGUAGGAUGAGCUCCCAGACUUCAUUGAAGCUUUUCCAUGCCCACAGGCUAUGAAUAUUUUUGAAACAUUUUUCUCAUGGCUUGUUUCUAUCUGCCUCCCCCAAAGUCUACAAUAGCUUUUAGUUCUGAUUCAUUGCAAUGUGAUGUAUUCAUUGCAAUGUGAAUAUAUAUAUAUGUACUCACUACAUUUUCCAGUGGAACAAGAGAAGAUGGCAGUAUAGGAAGAGGAAUAGCACGAGUGAAGGACUGGAAGAGGGACAGAUCCCUGCGUGUUUGCACAAUGGACAGUGUAAGGGUAUGGUGAAAGUGCAGGUGAGCAGCAUGGAGUGACUCAUUUCUCUAGAAGAAACCUGGGCCUUGCAUGAAAGGGGCCUUGUAUGAAACGUGGCAGGGUUGUGAAGAGGAGAGAAAUGUGUGGUAUGCAAACCAGGAGGCCAAAGAAGUGCCAAAGAAUGGCAAGGAGGGCCAUUGGUGUGGACCGCAUCUCACAUCAUUUGAAUCAGUAAAGAAAUCCUUAUUGGGUAGCAACAAGAGGAAGAAAGAAUGAGGCACACGUGAUAGCGCUGUCAUGGACACCAUGGGUGCAAAAAUGAGGAUACUGAGACUCAAAGUGGUGAAGAGACUUAUCCAAUGUCAUAAGCUGGGAGCUAGGGUAUGACCCAAGCAGAACCUGUACACUGGAGCCCAGGAUUACUGACAAAGGACACACCUUCUCUAGCCCCUCCUGGUGGACUUCCUCAGCUACGAAGUGCUAUUAUCAUCUCCUAGAGCUGUGGUGAGAAUUAACUAAAAUAACAUGGAUGAAGCUCUUGCGCGGCACCUGGCACAUGCCCAACCUGACUGCUGUGUUCUGCCCUGAGUCUGCAGAGGCUGACCCUGGCCAGGAAAGUGGUUGGAAAAGCAUUUUUGCAGAGAGGCAGCCUGAAGGUGGUGGCUCUAUCGGGGCAAAGAACUGUAAGCAGAGACAAAAUGAAAGCCCUCUAGGCCCACAAUUGAUUCUAACGGCUGUGAGGGAAUGAGCUUCAACUACUGUUGAUGGGAGGGACUGUGUGCCAGGCACUGUGCUAGGGACUCUCAUGCAUGAUCUCAUUCAUCUUCUGCAUAACCCAAUGAGGUAUGAUCUACUAUCAAGUGUCUACAUUUGUAUUGGAUUGGUAUGUGUGCCCAACAAAGAAAGUGUCAUUUUUCCUUGGGAAUGAAAUCACAUCAUUUGUGAAGACUUAGUAGAGGCUAAAUGAGUACAAGCAGCAUUUACCUUAUUAAACAGAUAUUUUCAACAUUUAAAACAGUCUGACCAUCAAUGAUGAUGUUCAAAAACAUCUCAAGAUGUUUUAGAGCUAAAGCAAAUGAGAAAAUAUAGUAAAGGGCUGAUUCCUGUGGAUAUUCUGCAAAGGAAAGUAACAUGGUGGAGUGGAAGUGGGAUAAGGUUUGAAGCCAAAAGACCUGGUGGGCUUAAGGUCUCCAUUUAUUGGUUGUGUGACCUUGGAUAAGCCACUUCACCUCCUGGUGAGACUUGGGCAAAAUGGAGAUCAUAUUAAUCACCUCACAGUUUGUUACGCAUUGAGUAAAUGCACAUGUAAGCAUUAUUGACUGUAAAUGAUUAUGCAUAUUUUAAUUAUGGUAUAUCCAAGCCUGAUUUUUCAUCCAGUGCUUACAGUGCCCUGGGCAUAAUACUCAUUCAAUAAACAUUUGUUUGAUGAUAGAGUAAUAAAUGAAUAUGUGAUGCAGAAGUUUUAAAAAUAUUUUUGCUGCUGUCUGACUCAUUUAUAGACAUUUAUAAAAUUGAGGAUUUGUAAGUUGUCCCUGGACAAUCAGAUCUCUUGAUUCAAAGGUGAAAGAUAAUCAUUCAGGUUUUCAAGUUUUUCCUGAUAUGAGACAUUAACUGGCAGGGCUGAUUAUGAGAAAUUGUCAUUAUCCUGCUCAAAUAUAAGAUCAUAGAUUUGGGAAACCUUAGAAAUAAUUACCUUCUUUUCAAAUAUGAGGAAACUGAAGCCCAGAGGCUCUAAGAAAUCAGGGACUUUAUAUAAUUUUUUCAUUUCUCUAGCUCUAGGGUAAUUGUAGAUAGAUAUACAACAAGUAUGUUUUUAAAAGUAUAUUUUUCAAGAAUUAUGCUAAGCACUGGGGAAAUAAACAUUAACAAGACAAAACCCUCCCCUUUGAGGAACUGAUAAUCUAGACAGACAUGAAAACCAGGAAGUGUGCUAUCAGUUAUAUUAAUGUUGUACAGAGUUCUAGUGGCAAGAGGGAACUGCCAAGGGAAAUCUGAGAGGAGGUGUUUACCCUGCGUAAACACCUUGCUGUUUAGCUUGGCAUCCCUAGAAGCAGACCCUGAGGACAGUGGGAAAAUGGAUUAUUAAGGAAGUGCUCCUGAGAGAAACCAGAAAGGGGGUGUAGGGAGCAAGGGAGGAUAAGGAGAAGACUCCAGUAAGGAUGAGAUUACUCAAGUCCCAUGGAAGACAGGUUAGCCUGAUCCUGCAGGGGAGCCCUGGAGGAGUUACUAAUGUGGAGAAAGAAGAUUAUCAUGUGUGGAACGAAGGACAAUAUGAACAUUAAAUAAUGCCCUGACUCAUUCCAAAAAGAAUCUGAGAUGACCAAUAAAGCCAUUUUUAAUUGUUUAUUAGUGAACAAUAGAUUAUGAGUGCUAAAGGGAUUCAGGAAGAAGAAAGAUCAGUGCAGAGUAGAGAAGUCUGAUGGAUGCAUUGAAGAAGCUAUGCUUGAGCUGAAAUGACAAGAGAGCUGUUUUUCGCUUUCAGAAUUAUUAUGUGGCAAUGGUAAUUGACAACAGAGAAGCUGAAGGUAUGAGGACAAGGGUGUCUUAUCUUUCCCCAGAAGUCUUGCUUGGCCCAUGGGAGAAUACAGGCCUGCACCUUGGACUUGGAGUCAGUAGAUUCCUUCCUGUGAUUUUUUACAAGCUCAAACAUCCCCUGACUGAGUCAUUCACCAGAGAAAGAGGCUUUUCAAAUGAUUUGUGCAUUAGCUAUAGUCUGCCUUAUUCAACCCCAUUUUAGUGUCACAAAAGCUUCUUCUUCCUACAUUGUUAGAGCCUUUUUGACUUUUCUGAAACGACAUCUGCUCACCUCUUGGGUAACACCCUGCAGGGCUCAGUCGAGCUCAGUCACCCUUCACUUUUUUUUUUUUUUUUUUGAGCCAGUUUUGUAAGGUGCUGAGGGAGGUUUGUAUUAGUCCUUGUUGCCCCUAGAAGAAAUAACAGCUAUAAUUUUGGCCCCGAAGAAAAGGAACAGGUAUGACUAUUCUCUCUCUUUCUCUCAAACCACAAUCUACUCUAGGGAGGAAGUCACUUUAUGGGAGCAGAGUCACUCUCAAGUAAUAGCUGGCCAUACAGAUUGCUCUGGACCAAGGGUGAAUGUGAAGAAGAAAAGACCGGCCAGCAACACAAUGGAAUAUCUAGAGUCAUAUUGAGGGAAAUACUUAGAUUGCUGAUUUCUUAGUGGAUUUCACAAGCAGAGCUGCUUGUGAGCAGAAUGGUGAAGUAGGGGCAUGUGUUUCUGGGGUCUUAUUCCAUGGCUUCCUUCCACCUACAAGAGUCAUCCUCACGGAGUACUUGCAUUUCAGUAGAAGAAAAAAAUCUUAUAGAUGGAAGGGAAGGAUGGGGUUCCUGCUUUAGGAAGAUUGGCAUGGUCAUAAGUCUGAGCAAGGAAGGGCCCAGGGCAGCUCAGAGCUCUGAGCAGGAAGCUCUAAUUAGUUACUGAAUAUGGUGCAAGCACAAAGAGAGCGUAGUGUUUUCCCUUUCCAUCUGUGGAAGUCUUGGCCAUGCUUACUUGGGCGUUCCUUCCAGGAAACAUUUAUUUUUCCUCUUUAAUGCCCUCCUCAUAUCUAUGCUCUCAGUAGAGGAUGCCACUGCUUCUGGCACCUGGAUAAUAGAAUGAAGCUGAUUGGGAUGGAAACAGAAAAGUCAUCUCUCAGAACAAUGAGCAGAGACUGAAACUCCCUUGUACCCAGUCCCUGUGCACUGCUGUUCAUAGCCAAAUGGGCAAGGCCUUGCCAAAUGUCAUGUUGAGGUGAGGCCCUAAGUGAUAGAAAAAUAAAAAAUGACUAUGGCCACUUGCAUGUUCAGAGAAUUCAGUUUAGAAAAUGCUAUGCUGGGAGGAUCUCUCUUAAUAUCUUGUUUGCAUCAGAAUGUUCAAGUUGCAAUAUAUGUUUUUGUUUUGUGUAUUUAUUUAUUUUCCUCUACUCUAUUCUGUUAAGUCUUUUAGGGCAAAGGUAGGGUAGUCUAUACUCCCUGCGUUAUCCAUAAUGCCUAGCACUGUGUCUUGUACAUAAAAGGUCAUAAUAAAUACCUGUUGGCUAGAUAGAUGAAUGGAUAGAGUGCCUCAUUUAGAAGCAUUAUACUUCUAUGGAAAAAAAUUUUUAAAUGUAUUUUUUUCUAUGAGAUAACACAGUUCCUGAAUAGGUCAUGGGCAGGUGCUAUUCAAGUUUGCGAAGGAAAGGUUUUCCUAGAGUUAGGGUAAUUUUUUCCUCAAAUAAGAAAAACCUACAGUAAAUAAUUACUCUCCAUAUUAUCUUUAGGUUUCUUGCCAGUAUUAACAUCUUUUUUAUUGUAAGUGAUGAUAUUGUCUGUGAGAACAUUACAGUAGGUUAGUAUCCUGGGUUAAGCUAAGUGUUGUUGAAAAUAAUCCUGGACAUCCAAACAGGAAGAGAGGAAGUCAAACUAUUCCUGUUUGCAAAUAACAUGAUUCUAUAUCUAGAAAACCCUGUAAUGUCAGCCCCAAGGCUCUGUGAGAUCAGAGAUAAAUAACCUCAGCAAAGUCAACAUACAAACAUCAGUAGCAUUCCUUAUACAAACAACAUCCAAGCUGAUGGCCAAAUCAGGAUGCAAUCCCAUUCACAAUUGCCCCCCCAAAAAUAUAAAAUACUUAGGAAUACAGCUAACCAGGGAUGUGAAAGAUCUCUAUAAUAAGAAUUACAAAACACUGCUCAAAAAAUCAUAGAUGACACCAAAAAUUGGAAAAAUAAUCCAUGCUCAUGGAUUGGAUGAAUCAAUAUCAUUAAAAUGGCCAUACUGCCCAAAGCAAUUUACAGAUUUCACAGAUUCAGUGCUAUUCCUAUCAAAAUAUCAAUGACAUUUUUCGUGGAAUUAGAAAAAACUAUUUUAAAAUUGACAUGGAACCCAAAAGGGACCCCGAAUAGUCGAGGCAAUCCUAAACAAAAAGAACAAAGCUGGAGGUAUUAUAUUACCCAAUGUCAACAUAUACUACAGGGCUAUAGUAACCAAAAGAGCAUGGUACUGGUACAAAAACAGACACAUAGACCAAUAGAACGUAAUAAAGAGCCCAGAAAUAAUGUCACACCACUUACAACCAUCUGAUCUUCAAUAAAGCUGACAAAAACAAACAAUAGGGAAAAGAUUCCUCAUUCAAUAAAUGGUGCUGGGAUAACUGGCUAGUCAUAUGCAGAAGAUUGAAACUGGACACCCCACCUUACACUACAUACAAAAAUCAGUGUAAGAUGAAUUAAAGGCUUAAAUGUAAAACCUAAAACUAUAAAAACCCUGAAAGAUAACCUAGGAAAUACCAUUCUGGACAUAGAACUUGGCAAAGAUUUCAUGAUGAAGACAACAAAAGCAAUUGCAACAAAAACAAAAAUUGACAAAUGGGAUCUAAUUAAACUGAAGAGCUUCUGAACAAAAAAAGAAACUAUCAACAGAGUAAACAGACAACCUACAGAAUGGGAGAAGAUAUCUGCAAACUAUGCAUCCAACAAAGGUCUAAUAUCCAGAUGCUGUAAGGAACUUAAAUUUAUAAGCAUAAACAAACAACCCCAUUAAAAAGUGGGCAAAGGACAUGAAGAGAUACUUUUCAAAAGAAGACAUAUAUGUGGCCAACAAGCAUAUAAAAAAUGCUCAACAUCACUAAUCAUUAGAGAAAUGCAAAUUAAAACCACAGUGAAAUACCAUCCCACACCAGUCAGAAUGGCUAUUAUUAAAAGUUGAAAAAUAAUAGGUGCUAGCAAUGUUGUGGAGAAAAGGGAACACUUAUACACCACUGAUGGGAAUGUAAAUUAGUUCAGCCACUGUAGAAAGCAGUUGGGUGAUUCCUCAAAGAACUUAAAAAAACAGAGUUACCAUCCAACCUAGCAACCCCAUUAUUGGGUAUAAUCCAAAGGAAUAUAAAUUGUUCUAUCAUAAAGACACAUGCACAUGUAUAUUCAUUGCAGCACUAUUCGCAAUAAGAAAGAUAUGGCAUCACCCUAAAUGCCCAUCAGUGGUAGACUGGAUAAAGAAAAUGUGGUGCAUAUACACCAUGGAAUACUAUGCAGCCAUAAAAAACAAUGAGAUCAUGUCCUGUGAAGCAACAUGGAUGGAUCUGGAAGCCAUUAUCCUAAGCAAACUAACACAAGAACAGAAAACCAAAUAUGGCAUGUUCUUACAAGUGGAAGCUAAACAAUAGGAACACAUGGAUAUUAGAAGGGUAACAGAAGAUAUUGGGGCCUACUUGAGGGUGGAAAGUGGGAGGAAGGAGAGGAUCGGAAAAAUACCUAUUGGGUACUAUGUUUAUUACCUGGAUGAUAAAAUUAUCUGUCACCAAACCCCUGUGACAUGCAGUUUACCUAUAUAACAAACCUGCACAUGUACCCCUGAGCCUAAAAUAAAAGUUUAAAAAAAAAAAAGAAAAUACACCUGGACCCUAUUUUGAAAGACAUACUGUAGACUUGAGGGAGGAAGAGCAGAGGGAUGGAAAGGGCCCCGAAUUACCCACAAGCCAUGUGAAUGCUUAAGCAGUCAUGGACCACAAUUCUCACCACACACACACACACACACACACACACACACACACACACACACACACAGGUCUGAACCCUUACCCCUGUCUACUACUUAUUGGAGCUUGGUAGAAAAAAAGUUGUGAGUGACAGAAAAGUGAGAAAAAGAGAAGAAGAAGAAAAAUUGGAAAGUGUGGAAGAAAAAGUGGCAAAUGCAAGCAGCCCUUAAUGGAACUGUGCUGAAUUGAGAGACAGCAGAAGGUAACAGCUGGCUGGGACUUGGCCAUGAAAGGUGGAAUGUGAGGAGACAAAUGAAAUGGAAAUGCAGGAAAGAAUGGAGUGGCAAAGGAGGCUGGAGAUGGGGCAGAGGAUAGCAAGGGGAGAGAAGGAAGCACAGAAAGGGUGUGGGGGACAGGCCAGAGAGUAGAAGGCUAGAUGGAACUGACUGAUGCCACCAGUCAGAGAUGGAGACCAUUAACAAUGUGUAGGGAAACCCCUGCCUUCCCAAUAAUGAAAAUGCAGGUUUAAUCAGUACCAAGGAACACUGUGAAGUAAGGGCAUUGACUUGGGAAGUGAAAGCCGAAGAUAGAGCAAACCCCAUACGGCAUAUCCUAACUCGCCAUUUUAACAGCAGAAAGACUCGAAAAUACAAAGCAAAGGAUUAUCCAAAGGGCUUUUUAAAAUAAUGCUUAAAAUUUUAAUCUUGUAAAUAUAUUUCCCUUCCCAGUAUGAAAAUAAUUCCGAGUAUAAUCUUUAUUUACUUUCCCCUUUUUAUUUUAGAAGAGUAAACAUAGCUUUAAGAAUUAAAAAAAUCAGUUAAUAAUCUGACUUUUAAGUCAGCUGUAAAAAUGUAAGUUUCUAGCUCUGCCACUUUUUAGUAGUGUGACUUUGGGCAAAUUGCUCAAAAACUCCAAAUUCUUGUUUCUUUACCUACAAAAAAGGGACAAUAAUACAUACCUCCUAUGAUAGUAGAAAAUUACGUGAAAAUAUACUCCAAGUAUCUCAGAGGGCUUGAUUUCCAGAAAGCGCCCAAGCUCAAUCAAUAGUGACGUUUACUAUCCACGCAGCCAGUUCUACUACUGGGAGUUGGUUGGUGCUGAUAAAGCUUUUUGUCAGACUUCUCACAAUUUCCAUUGUGAGAAGAUGUAGCUUCCAAUUAACUCUGUCACUGAUUGUUGGGUAACUUUGGGCCAAAUGCUGUUCCUUAAUGAAUGUGGGUGUGAAACUUAUUAAGAUUAAUGACUGUCACAGCUGUUAGCCAGAUGUUUACAUAAUUCCCUCUGUUUUACAGCAAUCAUAUCAGAGGAAAGGGGUUGAAUGAUAGAAUUAGAAAAAUAAGUACAAUAUUGUGGGAAUGAAUAAAUGUUGUUUUGGAGGGUAGGAGAUUAAAAUCCUAAAUGUAUUUUGAUUAGGCUAAUAUUAAAAAUUAGCAUCUGUAAAUCAGUAAUCUAAUUGAAGGAAUUUUUUAACACAAGUGACUGGUGGAGGGGACACAGCAUGGGAGGGCAUGCUUACAGCAAGAGCUCCAUUGAUUAAAUAGUCCCCUGCAGAACACAGAGAGUUAAAUACGUCUUUAAUAGCCUCCAGCAUGAAAGGGCAAAUCAUUUGUUUUAAUUGAGGAAGGAUAAAAUAUUUUUGCUUUACACAUAUAUGUUCUAUUUUAGCAUCAUAGUUAUUUUUAUAGCUGUUAUAACUUCACAAAACCUAAUAGGAAAAUAAAUCUGAAUCCAGAAGAGUUCAAUACUUUCCAGAGGAGUCUAGUAAAUAAAAACUCUACACUGACUGACUGAUCUUAUUCAUGCACUGCUCCUAAACCCAAACUCUCAAGUGAAGGGAAAAGAGGUUAAUUCGUUGGAAUAAAUUCAUGGGAUUUUUUUUUAAAGACACAUCCUGAAUCAAAGUGAUUAAAACAACAAAUGGAUAAAGGGUAGAGCUGUGAGAGGACAAGGUUUGCAUUACUGAGCAUCUUGAUUAUGUGGGGAAGAUGGGAAACAGAUCUUGCCCAUUCUGGUCUCAAACUACUAAAUCCUGAGAAUGCCAAGAGGCGAGUCACUGAAGUCAGAAGUUGGAAACAUGGCUAAGCUGUCCAGAGUGUGGAACACAUGGUCUCUGAAGGUUUUUAUUAGUGUGUGGGUGAGAGUUCAGAAGCUCUACUAAUUACUUUUGUUUUCAGAAUUUAUAAAGUUAAGACAGAAAGCGGAAUAUUAACACUUCACUUCCUCGUGCAGUCAUUAAUUUACUCACUUAGCAUACAUUUAUUCAUAGAAGCUUAUUGGUACCAAGUAUACCCUCAAUGAGCAACCAACCCAAAAUUGCAAAAGGGAGAUCAAACAGGGAAGCUGUGGUAGGAAGUAUCAUGGCCUCUUCAAAGAUGUCUAUAUACUAAUCACAGAAUUUAUGUAUAUGUGAUGCUGUAUGUCAAGGGAAGAUUAAGGUGUGCAGAUGGAAUUAAGGUUGCUAAUCAGCUGACCUUAAAAUAGGAGUACUAUCUUGGAAUAUCUGGGUGGGCUCAAUGUAAUCACAAAUGUUCUUAACAGAUAGAAGAAGAAGGCAGAGGAGUCAGUGUUGGAGUGAUGCCAUGUGAGAAAGACUCAACUGGCCAUUGCUGGCUUUGAAAAUGGAAGGAGGCAUAAGCCAAGGAAUGAAUGCAGGUGCCUCUAGAACCUGGAAAAAGCAAGGAAACAAAUUCUCCUCUAGAACCUCCAGAAGGAAUGCAUUCCUGCCAACACCUUGAUUUUUAGCUCGGUGAGACCCAUGCUGGACUUCUGACCUGCAGGAUUGCAAGAUAAGAUAUUUGACUUAUUUUAAGAUGCUAAGUUUGCAGUAAUUUGAUAUGGUAGCCAUCGGAAACUAAUACCGAUGCCAAAGCAGUAAAGCAGGAAAGCACUCCAAAAUCACAGGAGUGAGAGGAGCAGAAAUGUCCUAGGAGAAGACAAUGUUUCCUUUUGAAAAGGAAAGUUUACUGGCAACUUCCAUUUGAAUUUCUUAAUUUCUUUCCUCAGUGGCAGUCACUACUUCCAAGGUGGCAGGUUCCAGAGCUGAUUCAUUAUAUAAUCUUUUCUCAGGAGUAUUCUAGCCACCUUUAAAGAAGCUAGGGCCAUUUUCCUGACACUGCAUCAAGGGGUAAGGUUAGUGGUAAAGAAACCAUGCGGUAGGAAAGGCCAACUUUCUCCCUACAUAAUCCAAUCGCAUUAUCUCCAGACUUGCUCACCCUCUGCUCUUUGCAUACUGCAGCUCCAGAGCUUUCAUACCUACAGACUUCCUGGAGUUAAGACUAAAACAAGAGUUGUGCUACAGACUACCGUUCCUAUUAUCAUUUUUUGUGUCCUGCUGAGUCCUCCCCUCUUGGCAACUUCAGGACCACCCACUGGGAAGAUAAUAUACAACCCAUCAGGAAACUCCCAGUGCCCAUCGUGGAGGCCAAGUGCUGCCAACUCUGAUUGCUUCUGGAAUGCCAUUUCUUCCCUGCCCUUUCAAUAUUCUUGUUAUGCGACUCCUAUGAUCACUGCCAAUCUGUAGAAAAUUACAGGAUGAAUUUUUGUGAAGGACUGAAUUUGCAUACUGGUCUUUUGUUGUUUAUUGUUGGGGGGAUUUUGCUUUUUGCACACAAUUUCUGCACAUUUUAUUGGAAGUUAUUGGGUUAGAUUCAUCCCAUUCAUUCACUAGCCUGGCAUUGCUAUGCAUGUGCUGUAGGGGCUUAGCAUUAAACGAUUUUCUUUGUUCAGAUUUGGAUUGCUGUCUCUGCUUGCAAAUUAUUUUUCACAAUGACUCCUUCUUUUCCUUCUCUCUCUCUCUCUUUCUCUCUCUCUCUCUCUCACACACACACACAGACACACACACACACACACACACACACACACACACACACACACAGAUGAGGUUAGAUAUUUUUCCAUUGCCAAGUUCAGGACCCAUGAAUAC